UCCAUCCCAGAACCAUGGCCCAAUUUGUCCGUAACCUUGUGGAGAAGACCCCGGCGCUGGUGAACGCUGCUGUGACUUACUCGAAGCCUCGAUUGGCCACAUUUUGGUACUACGCCAAGGUUGAGCUGGUUCCUCCCACCCCUGCUGAGAUCCCUAGAGCUAUUCAGAGCCUGAAAAAAAUAGUCAAUAGUGCUCAGACUGGUAGCUUCAAACAGCUCACAGUUAAGGUAACCACGGGCUAAAUGAAAACGGAUGUGCAUAACAGAAAAUGUCUUCCCUUGGGAUUUUUCUGAUUGUUUUGAUUAAUAUAUAUGUUUCCAAUGAGGCUGAAUCCAGCAUAAUGAGGAAAAAAAUUUUGACUGCUGAGGAAGAUACUUACUUUUCUAAUUUUGUCACCUGGGUAGAAAUAAUUAGCCCAUUUUAUAUCUUAGUUUCCUAAGAGUCUUAAACCUAGCAAAAAAGUGACCAUUUUUAUUGGGAAAUUUUUUUUCCUUUCCUAUAUUAGAUAGUAUACUAAAAUAUGAUGGCUUGGUUUGCUGAGUCUGUACUUUUUUCAUCUGUAGUCCUGAGAUUGUCCCCAGUUCAGCCAAAACAUCUCUUGAACUAUGUCACAGUCAGGAAGC
This 623-nucleotide small RNA is filed under the name Pan troglodytes (chimpanzee). RNAcentral's name for it is "retained intron". The record is from RNAcentral. Lineage: Eukaryota; Metazoa; Chordata; Mammalia; Primates; Hominidae.